UACGGAGGGUGCAAGCGUUAUCCGGAAUCAUUGGGUUUAAAGGGUCCGCAGGCGGGCUAAUAAGUCAGUGGUGAAAUCCCUCAGCUUAACUGAGGAACUGCCAUUGAUACUGCUAGUCUUGAAUUCGGUCGAAGUGGGCGGAAUGUGUCAUGUAGCGGUGAAAUGCAUAGAUAUGACACAGAACACCGAUAGCGAAGGCAGCUCACUGGGCCUGAAUUGACGCUCAGGGACGAAAGCGUGGGGAGCAAACAGG
This 253-nucleotide ribosomal RNA is filed under the name bacterium. RNAcentral's name for it is "partial 16S ribosomal RNA". It matches the Rfam family "Bacterial small subunit ribosomal RNA", at positions 524 to 776 of the family's 1533-position model. The record is from RNAcentral. RNAcentral also lists the same sequence under 1 other name.